UUUAAAAAAACAUCUCACAAAAAGUUGAUCUUAUUCAAAUGUCACGGCGAGCGGUUCCGGGCGACACCACUAGUCGCUGCAUAAUUCAUGGGACAAGAGGUACUAAGUGAAACGACCCUCAGGUUAAUAAAAAUAUUUUUAUGGUACUCUCGUUUCUGUUACCGGAAUGGGUGAAAUGUUAAAUGGACCAUUUAUGAGAAGUCAUUCACAUAACACUUGUAUGACAGGUAAUCACUACGUUCUGAAGUAGAGGCAAGAGUGUCUAACAGUCUAUAAUAGAUACAUUAACAGGUUUUAUUCGCAUAAUUUCCUCAAGCUUUAUUCCUCUAUAAUUUAAUCUCAUUGUUAGACGAAUCCAUGUUUAAAUUUGACCACAGAUUACUAAAUAGUCACUACGUAAAUUUGACUCACUGGUCAUUACUGAACUACUUACAGUCGUAAAUAAUCUAUAUUGUAUUGUUUAGCUGCAACAAUAUGUUCAGUGCUUGACAGUGUCCACUCGCCCACACAGCUCUCACCUCUGCACCUCGCACUGUUUACUCUCCGGCGUCCAAUCAAACGCGGCGUCAUCUCGAAGGCGCUCACCGCGCCAUACAUCGCGCUGUCAUUAUAUUUACAUAGCAUAUUUCGCGGCGAUGCCAAUAUGGCGCCCGCUUGCCUGUCCGCCAGAUAAAUCAGAGAUAGUGGGGGCUCGCCGUAUAGUAAGAAAUACAUAUUUACGAGAUGGUCGAUCUUAUUUAUAAGGCUGGAGACUAAGUUUUGCUCGAGGCAGUAUGACCCUCGCGUUACUCGCAGGAAAUCGCCUAAGACGGACCAGUUUUAGGUGACAUCAGCAUACGAGUGCGGACGUUGGACUUGCAAGUAUCCUUCACCGGAAACAAACAAUACGUGUCGCAUGUCUACAGGCAGUGGGCGGCCGGAAGUGACGUGCGCGGGCAGGUCCCGCAGACCACUUCCGUCGCUUUGACAAACAGCCCCCAAGGUCGGUGAUGGAGGGUUAAAAGGUCCGCUACAAUGGGCCCUUCGAGCAAAAAGAUUUUGAAAACCUGUUGUUUUUGUGAUUUGGGGCUCAAUAAAAAUAUA
Long non-coding RNA from Trichoplusia ni (cabbage looper), 1083 nucleotides. RefSeq lists it as uncharacterized. NCBI's taxonomy places the organism in Eukaryota, Metazoa, Arthropoda, Insecta, Lepidoptera, Noctuidae. The transcript has 3 exons. The record is from RefSeq and is a predicted model, not a curated record.